UACAUUAAAAAAAUAGUAACAUGUUCUUUUAACAAAAUAAUUUCAUGUUUCAAAGGCAAACGUGAUAAAAUCAUGUCAGAUAAGCAUGAAAUUUAACAACCUAACGUUCAUGAAAUUCAGUCAUGUUGAGAUAACAUGAUUCAAUGGAGUCAGAAUGAUCUUGCGCCGAAGACGGAGCAGCGAGAUCACGGGAGAUCACGCGAGAUCACGCGAGAUGACAUACCAUUUGGUGUGCCCGGGAAAUUUCGAAUGGCAGUUAUCAAGCGAAGAAGGAAGUUGGCUGGCGUGCAUCAUAAAAGAACAUCACUUGUCUGUUGUUCAUCUGCAUGAGUACCAGUGAAGGGGGUCAUCGGCCAUCAAGUUUUUGAUUUCAGUGGUUAAUAGUGAGUGCAGAGUUCGAGAGAAUCACAACAAUCCAUUUGCAGUCAACAUUCUUCUCCAGGCUUGAUGUUCAAUCUGCAAACCUAAUGAAGGCGUAUGCCAAGA
Long non-coding RNA from Archocentrus centrarchus (flier cichlid), 486 nucleotides. RefSeq lists it as uncharacterized. The record is from RefSeq and is a predicted model, not a curated record. Lineage: Eukaryota; Metazoa; Chordata; Actinopteri; Cichliformes; Cichlidae. The transcript has 3 exons.